UCCCUGGUGGCUCAGUUGGUAAAGCAUCUGCCUGCAAUGUGGGAGACCUGGGUUCAAUCCCUGGUUGGGGGA
Molecule: transfer RNA, 72 nt
Filed under: Ovis aries (sheep)
Lineage: Eukaryota; Metazoa; Chordata; Mammalia; Artiodactyla; Bovidae
Rfam family: tRNA
About the family: Transfer RNA (tRNA) molecules are approximately 80 nucleotides in length. Their secondary structure includes four short double-helical elements and three loops (D, anti-codon, and T loops).
Source: Rfam by way of RNAcentral